This is a long non-coding RNA of Tympanuchus pallidicinctus (lesser prairie-chicken), 371 nucleotides long. RefSeq lists it as uncharacterized. The record is from RefSeq and is a predicted model, not a curated record. NCBI's taxonomy places the organism in Eukaryota, Metazoa, Chordata, Aves, Galliformes, Phasianidae. The transcript is spliced from 3 exons.
CCUUUUUGCAAUUUCUACAGGUCUCUCAUUGGGAUGGGACUGAAUAUUUACCUUCUGGUACAUUUUACUCCAUUUCCAGCUGCUCAGCAUGUCCCAGACAAUGAUGCAGAAAGUCAGUGAUGGUAAUGCAAGGAGUGAUUUGAGGAAUCUGAAGAGAGGACAGAAAGCUGAUGAUAACUAUUAGCUGAUACCCUGGCAGAUCUUUCUCAAACUGUGAUGUGAACUGGCAAGUGGGCUGCCAAGAGUGAGAUGAAAGAGCAUGACAGAGACUCCAGAGUAUGAGACAAUAAUGAACGUACUCUUGAGCUUCCUAUUUGGAGGCAGGCAGUUCAACAUUACGUGGUUAUAUUAAAGCCUCAACUGAGAGUAUG